AGUGAACGCUGGCGGCGUGCUUAACACAUGCAAGUCGAACGAGAACGGGAUAUAGCUUGCUAUAUUUGUCAGCUAAGUGGCGCACGGGUGAGUAAUGUAUAGAUAACCUGCCCUCUAGAAAGGAAUAACAGUUGGAAACGACUGCUAAUGCCCUAUAUGCCUUUAAUACAUAAGUAUGCAAGGCAAACGCUUUAGUGCUAGAGGAUGGGUCGGUAUGGUAUCAGCUUGUUGGUGAUGUAAUGGCUCACCAAGGCUAUGACGCCUAACUGGUUUGAGAGGAUGAUCAGUCACACUGGAACUGAGACACGGUCCAGACUCCUACGGGAGGCAGCAGUGGGGAAUAUUGCACAAUGGACGAAAGUCUGAUGCAGCAACGCCGCGUGGAGGAUGACACAUUUCGGUGCGUAAACUCCUUUUAUAUAGGAAGAUAAUGACGGUACUAUAUGAAUAAGCACCGGCUAACUCCGUGCCAGCCGCCGCCGUAA
Molecule: ribosomal RNA, 485 nt
Filed under: uncultured bacterium
Lineage: Bacteria
Description: partial 16S ribosomal RNA
Rfam family: Bacterial small subunit ribosomal RNA
Source: RNAcentral